GUGGUUUAUACAUUAAUGGCAAAUUAUGAUGAUAUACAAAUCAUUCAUUUAACAGAAGAAAAAUUGUGUAAUGUCAUCUGUUGGAAUAUAUAUUAAGUAUUACACAUGGACAGGAUGAUCCACAUAAAAUUAAGGUAUUCCACACCCCCAGAGUACACGAAACUGUCAAAUAGAAAUUACUGCUUUACCUGUAAUAAGCCAUACAACUUAUCAAUUGACCGACCAUGCCACUACAAUUUAAAAAGUUUGUUCAAAGACGAAAAUGAAAAUCAUCAUUUUGAUGAAAAAAAUGAAUUGAAAAUUGAAUAUUUCCCAAAGAUUAAAAGAAAAGUAUUAUCUACCCCAGGAAUAAUAAAAAAAAAUGUAUUAUUUACCCCAGGAAUAAUAUAAAAAAUGUAUUUAUAAUGGGUCCAUUUUCUAUAGAAAUCAUUGGUCUUAUGAAAUGGAUCCCAAACAGACAUGCAUAAUAUAGAUCCUAACAUUUUUUUCUUUUCCGGAAGGUCCGUUAUCAAAAAUAUUUAUUUUUGUUAAAAAUUUAUAAAAUUCAACACUCAAAUUGGA
Molecule: long non-coding RNA, 561 nt
Filed under: Mytilus galloprovincialis (Mediterranean mussel)
Lineage: Eukaryota; Metazoa; Mollusca; Bivalvia; Mytilida; Mytilidae
Source: RNAcentral